GAGUUUGAUCGUGGCUCAGGACGAACGCUGGCGGCGUGCUUAAUACAUGCAAGUCAACGAGAAACAGGGUGCUUGCAUCCUGUGGACAGUGGCGCACGGGUGCGUAACACGUAGGUAAUCUGCCCUUAGGACUGACAUAACUCCGGGAAACCGAAGCUAAUAUCAGAUAAUGCAGCGGCUCGGCAUCGAGACAGUUGUUAAAUCUUCGGAGCCUAAGGAUGAACCUGCGUCCCAUUAGGUAGUUGGUGAGGUAAAUGCUCACCAAGCCUGCGAUGGGUAGCUGGUCUGAGAGGAUGAUCAGCCACACUGGAACUGAGACACGGUCCAGACUCCUACGGGAGCAGCAGUAAGGAAUAUUGCUCAAUGGGAGAAAUCCUGAAGCAGCAACGCCGCGUGGAGGAUGAAGGCAUAUUUGUUGUAAACUCCUGUAAGAAGGGAAAAUGGGUCUGUUUAC
RNAcentral lists this ribosomal RNA (454 nucleotides) under uncultured Campylobacterota bacterium. Its description in RNAcentral is "bacterial SSU rRNA". It matches the Rfam family "Bacterial small subunit ribosomal RNA", at positions 9 to 461 of the family's 1533-position model. The record is from RNAcentral. Lineage: Bacteria; Pseudomonadati; Campylobacterota.